Molecule: transfer RNA, 73 nt
Filed under: Achromatium sp. WMS3
Lineage: Bacteria; Pseudomonadati; Pseudomonadota; Gammaproteobacteria; Thiotrichales; Thiotrichaceae
Rfam family: tRNA
About the family: Transfer RNA (tRNA) molecules are approximately 80 nucleotides in length.
Source: Rfam by way of RNAcentral
GGGGCCAUAGCUCAGCUGGGAGAGCGCAACACUGGCAGUGUUGAAGUCGGCGGUUCGAUCCCGCCUGGCUCCA